AACGUAGUGAUAUAGCCCACUUAUAUAUCGUCAUGAUAAGGAUGACAGUUUCUAGCCAGCACCGUAAAUGCUGGACUAUAAGUGAAAGAGUGUCUUGC
Molecule: non-coding RNA, 98 nt
Filed under: Enterococcus hirae
Lineage: Bacteria; Bacillati; Bacillota; Bacilli; Lactobacillales; Enterococcaceae
Also listed under: 1 other name
Description: Guanine sequence
Rfam family: Purine riboswitch aptamer
About the family: Riboswitches are metabolite binding domains within certain messenger RNAs that serve as precision sensors for their corresponding targets. Allosteric rearrangement of mRNA structure is mediated by ligand binding, and this results in modulation of gene expression.
Source: RNAcentral